RNAcentral lists this ribosomal RNA (911 nucleotides) under uncultured bacterium. RNAcentral describes it as "bacterial SSU rRNA". It matches the Rfam family "Bacterial small subunit ribosomal RNA", at positions 33 to 926 of the family's 1533-position model. The record is from RNAcentral.
ACGCUGGCGGCGUGCCUAAUACAUGCAAGUAGAACGCUGAAGAGAGGAGCUUGCUCUUCUUGGAUGAGUUGCGAACGGGUGAGUAACGCGUAGGUAACCUGCCUUGUAGCGGGGGAUAACUAUUGGAAACGAUAGCUAAUACCGCAUAACAAUGGGUGACACAUGUCAUUUAUUUGAAAGGGGCAAUUGCUCCACUACAAGAUGGACCUGCGUUGUAUUAGCUAGUAGGUGAGGUAACGGCUCACCUAGGCGACGAUACAUAGCCGACCUGAGAGGGUGAUCGGCCACACUGGGACUGAGACACGGCCCAGACUCCUACGGGAGGCAGCAGUAGGGAAUCUUCGGCAAUGGGGGCAACCCUGACCGAGCAACGCCGCGUGAGUGAAGAAGGUUUUCGGAUCGUAAAGCUCUGUUGUAAGUCAAGAACGAGUGUGAGAGUGGAAAGUUCACACUGUGACGGUAGCUUACCAGAAAGGGACGGCUAACUACGUGCCAGCAGCCGCGGUAAUACGUAGGUCCCGAGCGUUGUCCGGAUUUAUUGGGCGUAAAGCGAGCGCAGGCGGUUUGAUAAGUCUGAAGUUGAAGGCUGUGGCUCAACCAUAGUUCGCUUUGGAAACUGUCAAACUUGAGUGCAGAAGGGGAGAGUGGAAUUCCAUGUGUAGCGGUGAAAUGCGUAGAUAUAUGGAGGAACACCGGUGGCGAAAGCGGCUCUCUGGUCUGUAACUGACGCUGAGGCUCGAAAGCGUGGGGAGCGAACAGGAUUAGAUACCCUGGUAGUCCACGCCGUAAACGAUGAGUGCUAGGUGUUGGACCCUUUCCGGGAUCAGUGCCGCAGCUAACGCAUUAAGCACUCCGCCUGGGGGAGUACGACCGCAAGGUUGAAACUCAAAGGAAUUGACGGGGGCCCGCAC